CUAUUUCCUUCUCUCUACUUCGUCUUCACUCCUUUCUUUGAAUUUUCUUUCUCACUUUCUCCCCAAACAUGAAUUUUCUAAACCUUUCCUUUACAUUCUCCAUCUCAAUAAUAAUAUUAACACUCUUUCAAAACAAUAUUUUCUUGCAUGUCGAAUCCUUAAGCAUAACCCCCUCACAAAACCAAUAUACUUUCUUUGACAUAAACACUCUCGCUUCAACGCCUUUGAAAUCUGGCAACAACAAGAGCAAAUCGUGCACUUCACGGCCGACGUUUUCGGUCUGCAAGGUAUGGGGACGGGCCUGCUCAGAGGAGGUGCUGGGUCUGGCUCGCCGCCCCGAGAACGUUGACUGGUUGAAAAGUGUGAGGAGAAGAAUUCAUCAGCACCCGGAGCUUGCUUUUGAAGAAUAUGAAACAAGUAAGUUGGUUCGGGCCGAGUUGGAUCGGAUGGAGAUUGGAUAUAAAUAUCCGUUGGCCAAAACGGGUAUUCGGGCCUCGAUUGGGACCGGAGGCCCGCCGUUUGUGGCCAUCAGAGCUGAUAUGGAUGCACUUCCUAUUCAGGAAGCUGUUGAGUGGGAAUAUAAGAGCAAAGUUGCGGGAAAAAUGCAUGCUUGUGGGCACGAUGCACAUGUAACAAUGCUUCUUGGUGCUGCCAAGAUCUUGAAGAGUCGCGAACAUCUUUUGCAGGGAACUGUAAUUCUGAUAUUCCAACCAGCAGAGGAAGCUGGAAAUGGUGCAAAACAGAUGAUCGGAGAUGGGGCUCUGGAAGAUGUAGAGGCCAUAUUUGCAGUUCAUGUAUCUCAUGAGCAUCCUACUGGUAUCAUUGGCUCAAGGCCAGGUCCUUUGUUGGCCGGUUGUGGUUUCUUCAGAGCCGUAAUUAGUGUAAAAAAAGGCAACCCAUACCGUUCGGUUGACCCCAUCUUAGCAGCCUCUGCCGCUGUAAUCAGCUUACAAGGCAUUGUGUCUCGUGAAUCAAAUCCGCUGGACUCGCAGGUUGUGUCAGUAACUUCAUUCAAUGGAGGUAAUAAUCUGGACAUGAUUCCUGAUACAGUUAUAAUUGGUGGAACCCUCAGGGCCUUUUCCAACACCAGCUUUUAUCAACUUCUCCGCAGAAUAGAAGAGGUCAUUGUGGAGCAAGCUAGUGUUUUCAGAUGCUCGGCAACAGUUGAUUUCUUCAAAAACGAAUCCAAGAUCUAUCCCCCUACGGUGAACGACCAGGAUAUGUACAAGCAUGUGAAGAAGGUUGCCACCGAUUUGUUGGGUCCAUCGAACUACAGGGUGGUUCCGCCCAUGAUGGGGGCUGAGGACUUCUCCUUUUACUCGGAGGUGAUUCCAGCAGCUUUCUUCUACAUCGGAAUAAGGAACGAGUCAUUGGGGUCGAUACACACAGGCCAUUCACCAUAUUUUAUGAUCGAUGAAGAUGUUCUACCAAUAGGUGCAGCAGUUCAUGCUACUAUAGCAGAAAGAUAUCUGAAUGAGCGUGGAAGUUAUGCUGUAGCUUUUACCACUAAUGCGGUAAGUUUUUAAUCGACAAGCAAGAGAAUACUUCAAAAGAUGUGCUCUGUUUUUUACCGGUGCACUUGGCAAUGUUAAGCUCCAAAAUAUUCCGCAGUCAGGCCUACGGCCUUGUUUUUCGGUGUACUUGGGUUAGGGGGAUAUGCUAGGGCAAGAUUUUCCAGUGGAAUUGUAAAUGAAGUAGAGGAUCUUCUGCUUGUGUCUAUAAUUUUAAAUUGUAAUACUAAUACUUACCGCAUGUUUUAUAUAUUCUGCAGUUUGAUUUUA
Molecule: RNA transcript, 1781 nt
Organism: Pistacia vera
Lineage: Eukaryota; Viridiplantae; Streptophyta; Magnoliopsida; Sapindales; Anacardiaceae
Gene name: IAA-amino acid hydrolase ILR1-like 6
Exons: 6
Source: RefSeq, a predicted model, not a curated record